Molecule: ribosomal RNA, 377 nt
Filed under: uncultured bacterium
Lineage: Bacteria
Description: bacterial SSU rRNA
Rfam family: Bacterial small subunit ribosomal RNA
Source: RNAcentral
UGAUACGUAGGGUCCGAGCGUUGUCCGGAAUCAUUGGGCGUAAAGAGCGUGUAGGCGGCUUGGUAGGUCACGUGUUAAAGCCUGCGGCUCAACCGCAGAAUCGCACGUGAAACCACCUGGCUAGAGUCCGGAAGAGGAGAGCGGAAUUCCUGGUGUAGCGGUGAAAUGCGCAGAUAUCAGGAAGAACACCCGUGGCGAAGGCGGCUCUCUGGGACGGUACUGACGCUGAGACGCGAAAGCGUGGGGAGCGAACAGGAUUAGAUACCCUGGUAGUCCACGCCGUAAACGAUGGGCGCUAGGUGUGGGAGGUGUCGACUCCUCCCGUGCCGAAGCUAACGCAUUAAGCGCCCCGCCUGGGGAGUACGGCCGCAAGGCUA